GUAACGCGUGGGUAACCUGCCUCAUACAGGGGAGUAACAGUUAGAAAUGACUGCUAAUACCGCAUAAGCGCACAGUGCUGCAUGGCACAGUGNGAAAAACUCCGGUGGUAUGAGAUGGACCCGCGUCUGAUUAGCUAGUUGGUGGGGUAACGGCCUACCAAGGCGACGAUCAGUAGCCGGCCUGAGAGGGUGAACGGCCACAUUGGGACUGAGACACGGCCCAAACUCCUACGGGAGGCAGCAUG
This 245-nucleotide ribosomal RNA is filed under the name uncultured bacterium. RNAcentral describes it as "partial 16S ribosomal RNA". It matches the Rfam family "Bacterial small subunit ribosomal RNA", at positions 110 to 353 of the family's 1533-position model. The record is from RNAcentral.